AGGAGAGAGAAAGGGGGGACCCCAGUGAAAAUACGUUUCAGAUUUACAAAGGGUGAAAGUAGGCUAAUGGAAAACUACAACGGCAGAGUUACUUCCUGGGUACAUUUCCCAGAAUAACACCUCUUCGCAUCUGUAGUCGAAGAACUAUUUCACUGCGCGCGAUUUAUUUUUUCGAAACCAUUUAUUCGCUGGUCCGGUUACACUUCGAAGUUAAUGUCAAGCUUUAUUCGUGAUCAAGAGAUCUAGAAAAUCGACAGGACUUCCAGAACGGGGAUGCCUGCCCCUGUCACAACAGACGCUGGGAAAGGCUCCUUUCUCUCCGAUAAAAGGAGGCCAAACAGCGCUGUACCUGGAACGAGGGGCGGCGCACCUCCUGCCUCCCUGGCCCACUUCAGCGCUCUGGUCGGGAGCCACCGCCAUCCCGCGCCCCCGGCCCCGAGGAGGACAGAUGGUCUUCCUCACUCGCGGAAACUCGGGGUUGCUAUGGCAGCCGGUCAGACUCCCGGCCCGGGAGGGCGUACGGCAGGACGUGGGCAAGGCCGCGGCGACCGCCUCCCGCCUCCCCUGGACGUUGUUCUAUGGCUCUUUUGCUCACCUUGAACCUGUGUCUCUAUCCGUCUGUUUCUCUCGCUCUCUGUCUUUCCCUCCCUCCCUGUGACCUGUCCCAGGCAGGCUGUGGCCCUGCUCUCCGUUUGAUCUUCAAAGCCCCGAGCCUCGAGUGCAGAGCUUCCCCAGGCCAGCUGAGGUUGAGGUGCUCUACACAGACAUCAGGUUUUUCCUCAAAACUCUGCACCCCCCAACCCCCCCCUGUCCCGGGACGCCUCUGGCACCAGGUGGGCUGAGUUAAGCUCCCAUUGAUUCUGUUGCUGGAUGGCUGGGCUUGCGGUUCUGAGCAGGCGGCAAGUUCCUUCACUGGGAAUCACCGAGACACAAAAAAAACACCUUUGGACACGUGUGGCUAAAUACGUGAGUCCUUCGUAUACCAACCUUUCUGCUUCCGUAGAUAAAAUCAAAGCAUGCAACAUAAAAUAAUUAAAUAUUAAAUGAAACAUGGAACAUAAAAUACGGAGAGUCGCAUAUGGGAGGAAUCCAAGGGCAUUUUUAACGCGCGUGUGUUUGUUUUAAGAACAAACGGCAUCAGCGUGCCAUAUCGGGGUCAUGGUAUUUCUGUAAUCAGCCCCUGCUUGCACUGUGUCUGCCACAAUCCACUGCCAUCAGUGUUCGUGCAGUUACGCCGUUUGCCUCACAAAACUUGACGUGACGCCAAAGCCUGAAAAAAGUCUUUUUACUCAGUGUGACUGACUUAUGUCAGACAGCAGCUCUUGCAGUAACAACGUCGUACCAAUAGAGGCAGUAGAUGGCAAGAGGGCCCGGAUAACAGUCGCAACCAAUAUUGACAGUGUGAGUGCCUGUUUAAUUCUUGUACCUCUCAGGAUCAAUACCUAUGACUUACAUCAGCAAACAUGUAGUGGUUUUUUGUAUACUAAAAUAAGACACAAAGACGUGGUUCCACAACCUCACUCCCUUAAAAUGACAAUGCAGAAGCAACACAGUAUAGCCAUGAGAUAUUAACCCUUUCAGGUGUAAGAUCACAAAUAUGCCAUUAGAAUGUUCUUAACCAAACAUUCUAAUGUGACGAUCACUACUGGUAAUUGAAAGCAAUGAAGUUCUAGAACACUGACUUAAAAACUUGAAACAACAUUCCGUAAACCUACUUUUCAAAGGGUUAAGAACCUAGUCCUCAUAACAGUGCGAAAAGUUAAGGUGGUGUGGUUGUGCGUGAGCAUUCCCCAACGUGUCCUCUAGGUGGCAGCGUUGUCUUUCUGGCCGCGGCCCUGCAGCCGGGUGGGCCCGGGGCUGCUCGUCGUUUCGCGCGGCGCAGAUCUAUCGCCUCUUAUUACGGGCGUAAUGAAGCCUGAGAUAUUGAAGUCUUUUAUUGAUUGCGCACGUGGCGCUAAACCCCCCCCACCCCCCCCCAACCCCCAACCCCCCCCCCCUUUUCCUGUCACGGCGAAUAUUCACCUUAUCCACUGAAGCAAAUUGCCGACACCUUUUAAAGAAGUGACAACUGUGUAUAUUUCACAAUCGCGAAUUCCAUUUUUGUAUCUGCGCCGACAAGAAUGCAAUUUUCACUUAAUUUAACCGGCCCGGGGACGGCGCGGCUCCUCGCGGCACUUAAAGCUGUCUGAAGUUUAAGACGCUCCAAUGUCGUCGCUCUUUCACUUCGGCGUGCGCCGUAGUUCUGUUUCCAGUGGACUCCCAUCCUUCCUGAAGCCUGUGAUUUGAGCUCCCUGUUUGUCUCGCUGAUUAUACGAAAGUACACAAGGGACAGGCUUCGAUAAUCAUCAAUAUAUACAGUAUACAUCAUAUAACGAUUAGGUGUUACUGCUGGACACUGUAAUCUGGUUGAUAUUUAACAAUAUUUUUGCCUGUGAAAACGCUCAGUGUACAGUAAUGUGAUGCGUUAAGAAUGGGGAAAACAUUACAUACAGCCCCUUUCCCAUAUUUCGACUGACGUGCAGUCGGCAUCAGAAUUGAAAUGGUUGCACGAGGAAUUCCUUUAAAGUGUUUUCAUGUGUCUGUGUAUGUUAUGAAUCUGACAUUAAAUAUGCAAUGUGCUUAUGAAAUAUAAUUCAGAAUAUAGACAGAUAUGUAAAAUAGUGUAUCAAUAAAUGCAGAACUCAAGGGUAAUUAUAAUUUACAAACAUGCAUUAUUAAUAUUAAUAGAACUGCACGCGUCUCAUAAAUAGAUCCAAUGAAUCGAACAACAUCGUUUGAACUGAAAGUGAAGAACAAUACUUUCUAACACAAGCAAUGAACUAUGACAAUUCAGUUAGUUAGCUGAUCCUGUCGUCUGGAUUUAAUCCAGUAUUGUAUCGACCCACAUUCUAAGGGACUUACAAAAAUAGGGAAAUCCAGUACAUUAUAGCACACAUGUAGGUGUACCUAAGGUACUGUACUUAAGUGUGUAGAAUAAAACAAAGUAUGUGGAGAAACGCAUCAAACUUUCAGUGCAAAGGCCGGCUGGUGAGUGCUUGCUAUGCUAAUCUCAAUCCAACGUAAUGAUGGCUUAACAUGGCCGUAUUAGGCUGCUUGCUAUAUCCUUGCCCAGGGAUUUGCUGUAUAAUACUCAUUCAUCGUGUCCAACAGCUCCCAAAGUCCGAGGUCCUGCUGAUGUGUACAGGUAAAACAGAGGUAAGGGUAAGGUAAGGUAAUGGAGGGGACGGGGGCGGGGUUUGUGUGGCGCCGUGAUUUUGGGUGCGGGGCAUCUCUGCAGGCGGUAAAUACAGCUGCCUCCGUUCAACCGCCGCGCUCCGCUGCCCUUUCACACGUCCCAUACCCCAAUCCCCCCCUCCCACACGUCUGUUUGUCCCCAAACACUGACACCACGCCUCGCACUGCCACCCCAGAUCGCGUGCCCCCACCCCCGCCAUCGCCGCAUCCGCAUAAUGGGAACGCUAACGCAAAGAGACAGGCCCCGCCACCUGAAAGCGUUAACUGCCCUCCCCAGCACACACACGAGCACGC
Anguilla rostrata (American eel) is the source of this 3528-nucleotide long non-coding RNA. RefSeq lists it as uncharacterized. NCBI's taxonomy places the organism in Eukaryota, Metazoa, Chordata, Actinopteri, Anguilliformes, Anguillidae. The record is from RefSeq and is a predicted model, not a curated record. The transcript has 4 exons.